GGGGUUGUGGCUCAGUGGUAGAGCACUUGCCUGGCAUGUGUGAGGCCCUGGGUUCAAUCCUCAGCACCA
Molecule: non-coding RNA, 69 nt
Organism: Ictidomys tridecemlineatus (thirteen-lined ground squirrel)
Lineage: Eukaryota; Metazoa; Chordata; Mammalia; Rodentia; Sciuridae
Source: Rfam